AUGAGUCACCGUCGAAGUUUGGCCCGACAGUUUUGCGAAGAUUCCUCCUCCGAAGAUGAGGAACUCAUGAUGGCUGCAAUUGUAGCAGAGGAAGAAGAAGCCCGGUUGGAUGCUCCACGACAUGGAGGUUCACAACCGGGACGUCAAUCUCUUCAGCGCGAUUUUGCGGAACGCUUUCAGAAUCUCCACAAGGACUAUUUUGCAGAGAACCCCACCUUCAAGGCAAGGAUGUUUCGCAAUAGGUAUGAGAUUGGUGCAUCUAUUUCGUUUUCACCAUAG
Molecule: ribosomal RNA, 279 nt
Filed under: Triticum aestivum (bread wheat)
Lineage: Eukaryota; Viridiplantae; Streptophyta; Magnoliopsida; Poales; Poaceae
Description: partial small subunit ribosomal RNA
Source: RNAcentral